AUUGAACGCUGGCGGCAGGCUUAACACAUGCAAGUCGAGCGGGGUGAUGGUGCUUGCACUAUCACUUAGCGGCGGACGGGUGAGUAAUGCUUAGGAAUCAGCCUAUUAGUGGGGGACAGCAUCUCGAAAGGGAUGCUAAUACCGCAUACGUCCUACGGGAGAAAGCAGGGGAUCACUUGUGACCUUGCGCUAAUAGAUGAGCCUAAGUCGGAUUAGCUAGUUGGUGGGGUAAAGGCCUACCAAGGCGACGAUCUGUAGCGGGUCUGAGAGGAUGAGCCGCCACACUGGGACUGAGACACGGCCCAGACUCCUACGGGAGGCAGCAGUGGGGAAUAUUGGACAAUGGGGGGAACCCUGAUCUAGCCAUGCCGCGUGUGUGAAGAAGGCCUUAUGGUUGUAAAGCACUUUAAGCGAGGAGGAGGCUCUUCUGGUUAAUACCCAAGAUGAGUGGACGUUACUCGCAGAAUAAGCACCGGCUAACUCUGUGCCAGCCGCCGCCGUAA
RNAcentral lists this ribosomal RNA (503 nucleotides) under uncultured bacterium. RNAcentral's name for it is "partial 16S ribosomal RNA". It matches the Rfam family "Bacterial small subunit ribosomal RNA", at positions 30 to 523 of the family's 1533-position model. The record is from RNAcentral.